CUUUGGACUGCACGGCACUCCUUCUUUCUCCUCCUUUAGUGGCUGCACAAGGUGGUGAUGGUGGUGGGAAGGCACGGCAAGGGUGAAUUGUGGCAGAAAUAUGGGAGUUUGGGGGUGGAAGGUUGCGGCAAAGAGAGAACUAGGGUUUUUUGGCGUGAAUGAAUGUUAUGGGGGCUGAUAGAUUCGGCCAAGAGGUUUAAGAGAGUAUAUAUAGGCACUUAAAAACCCUAGCAAUCAGAUUAGGGUUUCUAGAAAC
This 256-nucleotide long non-coding RNA is filed under the name Malus domestica (apple). Its description in RNAcentral is "long non-coding RNA (MDOM_LNC018605)". The record is from RNAcentral. Lineage: Eukaryota; Viridiplantae; Streptophyta; Magnoliopsida; Rosales; Rosaceae.